GCGGGAAUGGCGGAAUUGGCAGACGCGCCAGGUUGAGGGCCUGGUAGGGGCAACCCUGUGGAGGUUCAAAUCCUCUUUCCCGCA
RNAcentral lists this transfer RNA (84 nucleotides) under Planctomycetaceae bacterium. Its description in RNAcentral is "tRNA-Leu". It matches the Rfam family "tRNA". Rfam says of the family: Transfer RNA (tRNA) molecules are approximately 80 nucleotides in length. Their secondary structure includes four short double-helical elements and three loops (D, anti-codon, and T loops). RNAcentral also lists the same sequence under 1 other name. The record is from RNAcentral. Lineage: Bacteria; Pseudomonadati; Planctomycetota; Planctomycetia; Planctomycetales; Planctomycetaceae.